GUCGAACGAAGUAGUAAUACUUAGUGGCAGACGGGUGAGUAACAUGUAGGUAUCUGCCCUUUGGCCUGGAAUAACACGAGGAAACUUGUGCUAAUACCGGAUAAGUCUUUACGGAGAAAGCUUUAUGCACCAUUGGAUGAGCCUGCACUUGAUUAGUUUGUUGGUGGGGUAAUGGCCUACCAAGACUGUGAUCAAUAGCUGAUUUGAGAGGAUGAUCAGCCACAUUGGGACUGAGACACGGCCCAAACUCCUACGGGAGGCAGCAGUGGGGAAUCUUGCACAAUGGAGGAAACUCUGAUGCAGCGAUGCCGCGUGAGUGAAGAAGGCCUUUGGGUUGUAAAGCUCUUUCGUCGGGGAAGAAAAUGACUGUACCCGAAUAAGAAGGUCCGGCUAACCUCGUGCCAGCAGCCGCGGUAAUACGAAGGGACCUAGCGUAGUUCGGAAUUACUGGGCUUAAAGAGUUCGUAGGUGGUUGAAAAAGUUGGUGGUGAAAUCCCAGAGCUUAACUCUGGAACUGCCAUCAAAACUUUUCAGCUAGAGUAUGAUAGAGGAAAGCAGAAUUUCUAGUGUAGAGGUGAAAUUCGUAGAUAUUAGAAAGAAUACCAAUUGCGAAGGCAGCUUUCUGGAUCAUUACUGACACUGAGGAACGAAAGCAUGGGUAGCGAAGAGGAUUAGAUACCCUCGUAGUCCAUGCCGUAAACGAUGUGUGUUAGACGUUGGAAAUUUAUUUU
RNAcentral lists this ribosomal RNA (731 nucleotides) under uncultured Alphaproteobacteria bacterium. RNAcentral describes it as "bacterial SSU rRNA". It matches the Rfam family "Bacterial small subunit ribosomal RNA", at positions 61 to 840 of the family's 1533-position model. Lineage: Bacteria; Pseudomonadati; Pseudomonadota; Alphaproteobacteria. The record is from RNAcentral.